This 484-nucleotide ribosomal RNA is filed under the name uncultured bacterium. Its description in RNAcentral is "partial 16S ribosomal RNA". It matches the Rfam family "Bacterial small subunit ribosomal RNA", at positions 29 to 507 of the family's 1533-position model. The record is from RNAcentral.
AUUGAACGCUGGCGGAAUGCUUUACACAUGCCAGUCGAGCGGCAGCGCGGCCUUCGGGCUGGCGGCGAGCGGCGAACGGGUGAGUAAUGCAUCGGAACAUGCCCAGUCGUGGGGGAUAACACUUCGAAAGAAGUGCUAAUACCGCAUACGUCCUGAGGGGGAAAGCGGGGGAUCGCAAGACCUCGCGCGAUUGGAGUGGCCGAUGUCAGAUUAGCUAGUUGGUGGGGUAAAGGCCUACCAAGGCGACGAUCUGUAGCUGGUCUGAGAGGAUGAUCAGCCACACUGGGACUGAGACACGGCCCAGACUCCUACGGGAGGCAGCAGUGGGGAAUUUAGGACAAUGGGGGCAACCCUGAUCCAGCCAUUCCGCGUGAGUGAAGAAGGCCUUCGGGUUGUAAAGCUCUUUCGGCAGGAACGAAACGGUGGGCUCUAACAUAGUCCGCUAAUGACGGUACCUGAAGAAGAAGCACCGGCUAACUACGUG